GCUUGAUCUUGAAGGGGUUAUGGAUUUCAUGCCUGUCCAGGGGCAGGAGGGUGAGGUGGCGGGUGUGUCGGAUCCAUCACCUAUCCCUUCGAAGAGAAGGAGGGCAGCCUACCCAGGGGAGAAGUCUCGGAUGAUCAACGAGACUUCCCAGCCUUCAGACGAGCCUCGUGAGGUGGCUUCAGUUCCUAAGUCGGGAGCUCCCAGUUGCACAUGUUGCGAGGGCGAGGACUCACUCCCUAACUUUGGGUUUCCUCCCACCUGGGGUUAUCAUGAGAUGAGGUGCUAAAGUCUUUGGUGACACCUGCUCGUCCAGAGCAAUUGCAGGGCGUAGUGCAGAUGACAUUGAAAGGGCUACGGCUGUUUAUCUCCAGAGGGUAUGUUUCCCAUUUCACAAUUUCUUUCAUGUUGGGUUUCGCCUUUUAAACUAGGUUUUAAUAAUUGAUUUCACCUUUUCUUCCCUUUUUUUUUUUUUUUUUAGGUGGUGGCCCUCCAGAUCGGACUCGCAGAAUCGAAUCGCCGCCUAGCCUCGGAGUUGAAAAAUCUCACUGAAGAAAAGAAAAAGGAGGAUCAUCACUAUAAGAAAAAAAUAUCUUCCUUGAAGAAAUCUCUGAAGACGUUGAAUGCUCGAGCUCGCGAGCAGGAGACGGAGAACGACAACCUACGUUCUAUUUUGGCUCGCGCUCCCGAGGAGGCGAUUGAGAAGUAUAAGGCCUCAGCUGAAUAUGCUAGAGAUCUCAAGGGAUCUGUGGAACAGUAUAAGACGUCGUCUGAUUACGCUAGGGCUUUGAAUUCAUAUGGGGGGAAGGCGAUGUCAGCGUCUAUCAAAUUCUCCAAAGAGUGGAUUAUGGCCGAGCAUCCUUCUAUAGACCCCUUUGGCCUGGAUAGAUUUCUUGCGCAGGGCAAGGAAAAGGAGAGUGCAGCUCAGUCGUCCAUGUCACUUGGUCGUUUAUCAGGAGGCGAUAGUGGGGAUCUCUUCCCUUUGGGCUGAAGCAUUUCUUAAUUGUUGUUUUCUUUGCUAGCUCUUCCUUUUUCGUGUUUACUUUUGUUUAGUCUUGUUAUCUCCUACUUGCUCGAGGUGUGGGCAAGAAUUUCUCGGAUGUAUAAACACGUUUUUCUUUCAAUAUCAUUAGUGCUGAG
RNAcentral lists this long non-coding RNA (1137 nucleotides) under Olea europaea subsp. europaea. Lineage: Eukaryota; Viridiplantae; Streptophyta; Magnoliopsida; Lamiales; Oleaceae. The record is from RNAcentral.